AGUAAAAGUCGUAACAAGGUUUCCGUAGGUGAACCUGCGGAAGGAUCAUUACAGAGUUCAUGCCCGAAAGGGUAGACCUCCCACCCUUGUGUAUUAUUACUUUGUUGCUUUGGCGAGCUGCCUUCGGGCCUUGUAUGCUCGCCAGAGAAUACCAAAACUCUUUUUAUUAAUGUCGUCUGAGUACUAUAUAAUAGUUAAAACUUUCAACAACGGAUCUCUUGGUUCUGGCAUCGAUGAAGAACGCAGCGAAAUGCGAUAAGUAAUGUGAAUUGCAGAAUUCAGUGAAUCAUCGAAUCUUUGAACGCACAUUGCGCCCCUUGGUAUUCCGGGGGGCAUGCCUGUUCGAGCGUCAUUUCAACCCUCAAGCUUAGCUUGGUAUUGAGUCUAUGUCAGUAAUGGCAGGCUCUAAAAUCAGUGGCGGCGCCGCUGGGUCCUGAACGUAGUAAUAUCCCUCGUUACAGGUUCUCGGUGUGCUUCUGCCAAAACCCAAAUUUUUCUAUGGUUGACCUCGGAUCAGGUAGGGAUACCCGCUGAACUUAAGCAUAUCAAUAAGCGGAGGA
This 560-nucleotide ribosomal RNA is filed under the name uncultured fungus. RNAcentral's name for it is "eukaryotic LSU rRNA". The stretch from base 199 to 352 matches the Rfam family "5.8S ribosomal RNA". Lineage: Eukaryota; Fungi. The record is from RNAcentral.